UUGUUGUGGGUGAAUGUUGAAUGAUCCAUUAGCCCAUAUGUCAUGAGAUCCCAUGGAAGUCUAGGUGUGCCUGCUACGACUCUACGCCCCUGGCACUAUGACAGCCUAUGGAAGUCUAGGUGUGCCUGCUACGGCUCUACGCCCCUGGCAUAAGUAAGUAGCAUAGGGGCUAAUUGGUGACAAGUUCAUCCUUGUUGUGGAAUGUUUGUGUUAUGACGCAUUACAUGAAAGCAU
This 234-nucleotide long non-coding RNA is filed under the name Manihot esculenta (cassava). Its description in RNAcentral is "long non-coding RNA (MESC_LNC012623)". The record is from RNAcentral. Lineage: Eukaryota; Viridiplantae; Streptophyta; Magnoliopsida; Malpighiales; Euphorbiaceae.